GAUGAACGCUGGCGGCGUGCCUAAUACAUGCAAGUCGAGCGAACAGACGAGGAGCUUGCUCCUCUGACGUUAGCGGCGGACGGGUGAGUAACACGUGGAUAACCUACCUAUAAGACUGGGAUAACUUCGGGAAACCGGAGCUAAUACCGGAUAAUAUAUUGAACCGCAUGGUUCAAUAGUGAAAGCUGGUUUUGCUGUCACUUAUAGAUGUAUCCGCGCCGCAUUAGCUAGUUGGUAAGGUAACGGCUUACCAAGGCAACGAUGCGUAGCCGACCUGCGAGGGUGAUCGGCCACACUGGAACUGAGACACGGUCCAGACUCCGACGGGAGGCAGCAGUAGGGAAUCUUCCGCAAUGGGCGAAAGCCUGACGGAGCAACGCCGCGUGAAUGAUGAAGGUCUUCGGAUCGUAAAACUCUGUUAUUAGGGAAGAACAAAUGUGUAAGUAACUAUGCACGUCUUGACGGUACCUAAUCAGAAAGCCACGGCUAACUACGUG
RNAcentral lists this ribosomal RNA (497 nucleotides) under uncultured bacterium. RNAcentral describes it as "partial 16S ribosomal RNA". It matches the Rfam family "Bacterial small subunit ribosomal RNA", at positions 28 to 507 of the family's 1533-position model. The record is from RNAcentral.